Molecule: ribosomal RNA, 470 nt
Filed under: uncultured organism
Description: partial 16S ribosomal RNA
Rfam family: Bacterial small subunit ribosomal RNA
Source: RNAcentral
CGUACACUCCUACGGGAGGCAGCAGUGAGGAAUAUUGGACAAUGGGUGGAAGCCUGAUCCAGCCAUCCCGCGUGCAGGAAGACGGCCCUAUGGGUUGUAAACUGCUUUUAUCUGGGGAUAAACCUACUUACGUGUAAGUAGCUGAAGGUACCAGAAGAAUAAGCACCGGCUAACUCCGUGCCAGCAGCCGCGGUAAUACGGAGGGUGCAAGCGUUAUCCGGAUUUAUUGGGUUUAAAGGGUCCGUAGGCGGACUGAUAAGUCAGUGGUGAAAUCCGACAGCUUAACUGUCGAACUGCCAUUGAUACUGUUAGUCUUGAGUAAGGUUGAAGUGGCUGGAAUAAGUAGUGUAGCGGUGAAAUGCAUAGAUAUUACUUAGAACACCAAUUGCGAAGGCAGGUCACUAAGUCUUAACUGACGCUGAUGGACGAAAGCGUGGGGAGCGAACAGGAUUAGAAACCCGUGUAGUCCC